Molecule: ribosomal RNA, 327 nt
Filed under: uncultured eukaryote
Lineage: Eukaryota
Description: partial 18S ribosomal RNA
Rfam family: Eukaryotic small subunit ribosomal RNA
Source: RNAcentral
CCCUUAGAUGUUCUGGGCCGCACGCGCGCUACACUGACGAUGGCAACGAGUUUUUCCUUCGCCGAAAGGUGUGGGUAAUCUUUUGAAUGUGCAUCGUGAUUGGGAUAGAUGAUUGCAAUUUUUCAUCUUCAACGAGGAAUGCCUAGUAAACGCAAGUCAUCAGCUUGCAUUGAUUACGUCCCUGCCCUUUGUACACACCGCCCGUCGCUCCUACCGAUUGAAUGAUCCGAUGAAUAUCAUGGAUUGAGGAUGCAAGCAGGUUCGCCUGUCUUCAUCUUCGAGAAGUGAAGUAAAUCUUAUCAUUUAGAGGAAGGAGAAGUCGUAACA